Triticum urartu is the source of this 306-nucleotide non-coding RNA. The record is from Rfam. Lineage: Eukaryota; Viridiplantae; Streptophyta; Magnoliopsida; Poales; Poaceae.
AACUUAAACUGCGGCUCCGGCCUCCCCGCGAGUUAAAAGGGAAUCCAGUGCAAAUCUGGAGCUGACGCGCAGCGGUAAAGAAUGUCGUGACAAUAGCGUAACGCAGACACUGUCUCAGGACGGGAAGUCAUUGCCACCAAUGCUCAAAAUACUUCGCGUUACAGGAAGGCGGCAAAUAAGUGAGUCCCAAUGAGCUUACAGUAGUAAGUGAUUCGGGUGAAUGAGUGAAGCCAACGCACAUGUAACGUGCAGUAUGACGAGCAACCGAUUCUGAGCCCGAAGACCUGCCGGAAUAACGUCGCAUUU